This is a long non-coding RNA of Mangifera indica (mango), 524 nucleotides long. RefSeq lists it as uncharacterized. The transcript is spliced from 2 exons. Lineage: Eukaryota; Viridiplantae; Streptophyta; Magnoliopsida; Sapindales; Anacardiaceae. The record is from RefSeq and is a predicted model, not a curated record.
CCGAUUCUCAUUUUGCUGCCUGGUUUACACGCGAAAACCCUAGUUUUCUAAGCUGUUUCUGUAAAAUUUUUAAGCUUGGAAAGCAAAUAUGGGCAUCUAUCUAUGAUUCUCUGUGUUCAUGAUUAUGGUAGCACAAAGAAUACGAAAGAUGCAAAAGAAAUCAGAGGUACUUUCGGACAAGCAGAUUCCUUUUUUCCUUUGUUCUGUCAUGGAUUCUUGCUCUUUCUCGUAGGUUCCAUAUUUUUGCUCUUCUCAAACACAUUGAUUGCUCUAUGAUGAUUGAUUUUGCUUUAACCACACCGAAUAGAGACGGAAAGAUGAAGAAGAAGGCUUUGUCAAGCGCCAGAAGUGAUUUGGUUUCGUUAUUCUUUGCUUAAGGCUUAGAGAUGCACUCGCUUCGAGUUCUCUGCUGUGGACAACUGUGGCCUUUCAACUGAGAGCAUUCAUUUAAUUUUUAUUGUUUGUUUUAGUAUCUAAAUCAUGGUUAUUGUGUUGGAUAAUUGAGACCCAACAAUUUAGGUGGA